CGGCCCCGCCCCGAGGAGGGGAGCCGCGGUCGCUACCAGGCGGCGGGUUCGGCUGCGCGGCGGGGCUGAGUCGGCCGCGGUGGCCCGGGCGCAGGGGACAAACGUCUGGUUCCUGAACCGCGGCGCUGGAGACGGUCAGGCCUCGCACACAGGGGGAAGCGGUGCUCCUUGAUUAGAAAAAACUAAAAAAGCUCUCUGGACGCCAGGGCCCAGAGCUGAUGGCAGA
Equus quagga is the source of this 226-nucleotide long non-coding RNA. RefSeq lists it as uncharacterized. NCBI's taxonomy places the organism in Eukaryota, Metazoa, Chordata, Mammalia, Perissodactyla, Equidae. The record is from RefSeq and is a predicted model, not a curated record. The transcript is spliced from 4 exons.